RNAcentral lists this long non-coding RNA (564 nucleotides) under Mus musculus (house mouse). RNAcentral's name for it is "predicted gene, 30881". Lineage: Eukaryota; Metazoa; Chordata; Mammalia; Rodentia; Muridae. The record is from RNAcentral.
CUGCUUCGGUCACCCGAGCGCUGGGGAUGCCAGGCAUGGGCCACCGCAGCCAUCCUUCAAACAUCAAGGAAGUAACUUUCCCCGCUUAAGACCUCAGGGCCGGCAGAGAAUAAAACUUUGCAGGAAUCAUCAGGUGAAGCCACGCCCACAAUGUUUUGGACCCGAAAGUAAGAAAGCAUUUAACUGGGGCUUGCGUACAGUGUUGGAGUUAGCUCAUGACCACCGUGAUGGGAAGCAGCAGACGUGGCACUGGAGCAGUAGAGAGUGUUGCACGCUAAUCCAUGGGCAGCAGGUUUGCAGCUAGACUGAAUGGAAGUGAAGUUUCCUCAGAUCCAAUAUGGUCACACACAGCCCCUCUGCAGACAUCAUGCACAGAGCAGAGUCUGCGCCAACUGCUUGACCUACACCAACAAGCAACUCUCCCAAGUCCACGGUUUCCACAACCCAGUGGCUUAAUAAUUCUUUGAUGCUGCAUGAUCUGUCCCCAUAAAGGACCGGUAUGGCAGCCUCACAGUCCCAAACCAUCCCCAGCAGCCACUGCUCUUCGCUCCUGUUCCUAUGAUA